UGGGGAAUUUUGGACAAUGGGCGCAAGCCUGAUCCAGCAAUGCCGCGUGCAGGAUGAAGGCCUUCGGGUUGUAAACUGCUUUUGUACGGAACGAAAAGCCUCUCUCUAAUACAGGGGGGUGAUGACGGUACCGUAAGAAUAAGCACCGGCUAACUACGUGCCAGCAGCCGCGGUAAUACGUAGGGUGCAAGCGUUAAUCGGAAUUACUGGGCGUAAAGCGUGCGCAGGCGGUUUUGUAAGACAGUGGUGAAAUCCCCGGGCUCAACCUGGGAACUGCCAUUGUGACUGCAAGGCUGGAGUGCGGCAGAGGGGGGAUGGAAUUCCGCGUGUAGCAGUGAAAUGCGUAGAUAUGCGGAGGAACACCGAUGGCGAAGGCAAUCCCCUGGGCCUGCACUGACGCUCAUGCACGAAAGCGUGGGGAGCAAACAGGAUUAGAUACCCUGGUAGUCCACGCCCUAAACGAUGUCAACUGGUUGUUGGGGAUUUAUUUCUUCAGUAACGAAGCUAA
RNAcentral lists this ribosomal RNA (508 nucleotides) under uncultured bacterium. Its description in RNAcentral is "partial 16S ribosomal RNA". It matches the Rfam family "Bacterial small subunit ribosomal RNA", at positions 355 to 855 of the family's 1533-position model. The record is from RNAcentral.